GCUUUCGUGGUGUAGUGGUAAGCACGCUCGACGCAUAACCGAGAGGUCCGUGGUUCGAUUCCUGGCGAAGGCG
This 73-nucleotide transfer RNA is filed under the name Stegodyphus mimosarum. It matches the Rfam family "tRNA". From Rfam's summary of the family: Transfer RNA (tRNA) molecules are approximately 80 nucleotides in length. Their secondary structure includes four short double-helical elements and three loops (D, anti-codon, and T loops). The record is from Rfam by way of RNAcentral. Lineage: Eukaryota; Metazoa; Arthropoda; Arachnida; Araneae; Eresidae.